GAUGAACGCUGGCGGCGUGCUUAACACAUGCAAGUCGAACGGUGAAGGGAUCAGCUUGCUGGUUCUGGAUGAGUGGCGAACGGGUGAGUAACACGUGAGUAACCUGCCCCCUUCUUCUGGAUAACCGCAUGAAAGUGUGGCUAAUACGGGAUAUUCUGGGUCUGUCGCAUGAUGGGUCUGGGAAAGAUAUUGUUUCGGUGGGGGAUGGGCUCGCGGCCUAUCAGCUUGUUGGUGGGGUGAUGGCCUACCAAGGCGGUGACGGGUAGCCGGCCUGAGAGGGUGGACGGUCACACUGGGACUGAGACACGGCCCAGACUCCUACGGGAGGCAGCAGUGGGGAAUAUUGCACAAUGGGCGCAAGCCUGAUGCAGCGACGCCGCGUGAGGGAUGGAGGCCUUCGGGUUGUAAACCUCUUUCGCCAGUGAAGCAGGCCUGCUCCUUGUGGGUGGGUUGACGGUAGCUGGAUAAGAAGCGCCGGCUAACUACGUG
This 489-nucleotide ribosomal RNA is filed under the name uncultured bacterium. RNAcentral describes it as "partial 16S ribosomal RNA". It matches the Rfam family "Bacterial small subunit ribosomal RNA", at positions 28 to 507 of the family's 1533-position model. The record is from RNAcentral.